GAGAGUUAAACAGUACGUGAAAUUGUUGAAAGGGAAACGAUUGAAGCCAGUCGUACCUUCGGGUAAUCAGCCUUUCGGGUGCGAUUAUGUGGAGUGUGAGGAGCUUAAACACCUUCAUGUUUUGCAUAUUCGUACUCUUGGGUGUACUUGCCCGUGUGGUUGGUUAACAUCAAUUUUGGUGGUCAUAAAAUGACUGGGGGAAUGUAGCUUCGAUCUUGUAUUGAAGUGUUAUAGCCUUCGGUAGAUGUGAUGAUCGAGAUUGAGGAUUGCAACGGAUACCCUUCGGGGCUACCUGUCUGAUCUCUGAUCGUUGCUCUGGUGCCGAAAGCUUGCUUAUGAUGUUAGGGUAUUACGGUCAAAAGGUUAGAACGGAUUAAAUUCGUUAAGGAUGUUGACGUAAUGACUUUAAACGA
Molecule: ribosomal RNA, 413 nt
Filed under: uncultured Rhizophagus
Lineage: Eukaryota; Fungi; Glomeromycota; Glomeromycetes; Glomerales; Glomeraceae
Description: partial 28S ribosomal RNA
Source: RNAcentral